AAAAUAUAAUAAAAAAAAAUUAGGAUCAAAGUAUAUGUCUAUUAUUAUAAAUAAAAUUUUAGAUUUUGAUAAAAAUUCUAAUUUAAAAACAUUAAUCUAUACAAGAACUACUCAAUCAAAUUAUAUCUAUUAUUAUUUUUGGUAGAAGUUAAUCUUUCUAAAAUUUAAUGUAACUUUGAACAAAACUUAAAACUUAUUUUAUUUAAAACAGUUAAUAAUAGCCAUAAAUUAAAUAUAAAAUUUUAAAAGCCACAAAAAUUGUAAAACUUCUUGAUGGAUUUGGCUAAUCAAGUAUAGUAGCAUAUAUCCAAAU
RNAcentral lists this long non-coding RNA (313 nucleotides) under Physcomitrium patens. RNAcentral's name for it is "long non-coding RNA (PPAT_LNC006460)". The record is from RNAcentral. Lineage: Eukaryota; Viridiplantae; Streptophyta; Bryopsida; Funariales; Funariaceae.